UGAGGCAUGGCCUAUCUCUUCCUUUCUAUCAUAGCCUGAUGUAGUUUUUCAGGUUCCUUUGGGUCCCCUUGGCUGAGAGUGGAGUCCAUUCGGUCAGCUGGGGGAAUUUAGACUUUUACUUUUGGUUUACAGGUGAAUAACAACAUCAAGAAGAAAAUGGAAGCUAUCAGAAAAGCCUCUACCAUCCCCACCACAUCUACCUGUCUACCUGUGUGUGUUCCUAAACUCCAGCUUCUCUCAUGAAAGAACUCUCCAUGCAUCUGGCUUAAGGUCAUCCCAUCCCUGAUCUCCACUUAAGGUUCAUGGCUGGAGGGAGCUUGCCUUGAGACUCAAAUGAGAUUUUGAACUUU
Molecule: long non-coding RNA, 350 nt
Filed under: Homo sapiens (human)
Lineage: Eukaryota; Metazoa; Chordata; Mammalia; Primates; Hominidae
Description: non-protein coding lnc-UGT8-2:2
Source: RNAcentral